Molecule: ribosomal RNA, 2167 nt
Filed under: Uloborus glomosus
Lineage: Eukaryota; Metazoa; Arthropoda; Arachnida; Araneae; Uloboridae
Description: eukaryotic LSU rRNA
Rfam family: Eukaryotic large subunit ribosomal RNA
Source: RNAcentral
GGAGGAAAAGAAACCAACUGGGAUUCCCUGAGUAACGGCGAGCGAAAAGGGAAGAGUCCAGCGCCGAAUCCCCCGCUCGAGAGGGCGGUGGGAAAUGUGGCGUUUGGGAGUGAGCGUUCCGGGGUUCUGACCGUGCAGCAAGUCCCCCUGACCGGGGCUGUUACCCAAAGUGGGUGCGAGGCCCAUAGUUGCUGCGUCUGCUCCGGAUGCGAUCUCCUCGGAGUCGGGUUGCUUGGGAGUGCAACCCUAAUCGGGUGGUAAACUCCACCUAAGACUAAAUACGACCGUGAGACCGAUAGCAAACAAGUACCGUGAGGGAAAGUUGCAAAGAACUUUGAAGAGAGAGUUCAAGAGUACGUGAAACUGCUCAGAGGUAAACGGGUGGGCCCUCGAAAUCCUGUGGCGGGAGGAUUCAGUCGGAGACGACGCCAGUGGCUGCCGGACAAAUUAUUGGGCUUCCCCGUUUCGGGACCCGUUCGGUGCCGAUCGGCAAUGGAUUCGACGCAUUUGUUUCCCGCACGAAGGACGCCGCAACCGGUUGGGAGAAGACCUGAGAGUCGGGCGAAGGCAGUUGGCCGGUGGCACUCUGUACGAUGCUCCAGAGUCUGCCGGUUGUUAGCCAGAGUUCCUAUCCGACUUUGGGGACAUCACCCGACUGAGGUAUCACGAGGCCCGCUUAAUGGGCUCCUGCCGCCUCCUCCCUUUAGCGGAGUGCCGGGAUCGCCUCGGGACUGAUUUAGCGACUGUAUUGGGUCGGGCCGCACUCGGCAAUCGAGUGGGCCUGUGCCCCGCCGCAAUCGUAAGUGUUGACGUGCCCGUGGGAGGCUGGUGGUUAGCGGCGAGUAGGUCGGUCACCCACCCGACCCGUCUUGAAACACGGACCAAGGAGUCUAACAUGUGCGCGAGUCAAUGGGUCUUGAACAGGCCUAGAGGCGCAAUGAAAGCGAAUGUCGUGCAGUAGCCGACAGAGUUGGGAUCCCCCCCUUCGCGGUGGGGCGCACCAACGACCCGUCCUCUUCCGGCGGCCUUCGGGUCAUCCGGUUGGGCGGAGUGUGAGCGCACACGUUGGGACCCGAAAGAUGGUGAACUAUGCCCGGGCAGGACGAGGCCAGAGGAAACUCUGGUGGAGGUCCGCAGCGGUUCUGACGUGCAAAUCGAUCGUCAGACCCGGGUCUAGGGGCGAAAGACUAAUCGAACCAUCUAGUAGCUGGUUCCCUCCGAAGUUUCCCUCAGGAUAGCUGGCGCUCGAGAUAUCAGUCUCAUCCGGUAAAGCGAAUGAUUAGAGGCCUUGGGGCCGAAACGGCCUCAACCUAUUCUCAAACUUUAAAUGGGUGAGAAGUCUGGCUUGCUCAAUCGAAGCCCAGACGUACGGAUGUUGAGUGCCCAGUGGGCCACUUUUGGUAAGCAGACCUGGCGCUGGGGAUGAACCAAACGUCGAGUUACGGCACCCGAUGAAAGACGCUCAUUAGACCCCAUGAAAGGUGUUAGUCGCUUUUAACAGCAGGGCGGAGGCCAUGGAAGUUGGAAUUCCGUUAAGGAGUGUGAAACAACUCACCUGCCGAAGCAACUAGCCCGGAAAAUGGAUGGUGCUCCAGCGUUUAGCCCAUACUCGACCGCUGCAGCAGAGCUCUCUAGCGAGAGGUUUAUGCGGCAGUGAGUAGGAGGGUCGCGGCGGCGAGCGCAGAAGGCCAGUCCGCGAGGACGGCUGGAGCCGCCACCGGUGCAGAUCUUGGUGGUAGUAGCAAAUACUCAAGUGAGAUCCUUGAGGACUGAAAGUGGAGAAGGGUUCCAUGUGAACAGCAGUUGAACAUGGGUCAGUCGGCCCUAAGGGAUCGGAGAAAUCCGUUCCGAAGCGGGACGUUACUAUUCGCCUUGCGAGUCAUGCGCGAGUCCCGCUGUCGACCGAAAGGGAAUGGGGUCAAUAUUCCCCAACUCGGACACGGAGAUCGGUCCCUCGGGAUCCAGUGCGGUGACGCAACCGAGCUCGGAGAUGUCGGCGGAGGACCCGGGGAAGAGUUGUCUUUUCUUUGUAAGGGUUCGUGUCCCUGGAAUCGGUUCAUCCGGAGAUAGGGACGCUGUUCCCGUAAAAGCACCGCGAUUCUUGCGGUGUCCGGUGCCCCUCUGCCGGCCCUUGAAAAUCCGAGGGAGGAAGUGUGAUUUUCGUGCC